This 355-nucleotide long non-coding RNA is filed under the name Equus caballus (horse). RNAcentral describes it as "lncRNA (ENSECAG00000060346.1)". Lineage: Eukaryota; Metazoa; Chordata; Mammalia; Perissodactyla; Equidae. The record is from RNAcentral.
AGAGAUUUGACUACAGAAGAGGGGAAGGCAAUGCGAUGACUGAAGCAGACGCAGUGGCAGCCACGAGCCCCAGAAGAGGCAAACAACAGGGAGACUCAACUCUACCGACAUCUUGAUUUUAUCCUUUGCCCCUUUGUCAAAUCUCGUGGAAGGACACUGACUGGUCUUGGAUGAGCCACAGUCCUCCCUGAGCCAGUCCCUGUGGUCUGGAGAAUGCUGUGUUCUGAGUAUAUCAGCCCAGGAAAGAAGCGGUAUAUAACCAGAAAGAGGAGUGGAUCAAUGAUGGGUAUUCCACACAUAUCCAUGCACCUGUCCUUCUUGAUGACCUUCUGUUCCUGACUUAUUCCUACUCCCC